This 419-nucleotide ribosomal RNA is filed under the name uncultured bacterium. Its description in RNAcentral is "bacterial SSU rRNA". It matches the Rfam family "Bacterial small subunit ribosomal RNA", at positions 355 to 786 of the family's 1533-position model. The record is from RNAcentral.
UAGGGAAUAUUGCACAAUGGGGAAGACCCUGAUGCAGCGACGCCGCGUGAAGGAAGAAGUAUCUCGGUAUGUAAACUUCUAUCAGCAGGGAAGACAAUGACGGUACCUGACUAAGAAGCCCCGGCUAACUACGUGCCAGCAGCCGCGGUAAUACGUAGGGGCGAAGCGUUAUCCGGAUUUACUGGGUGUAAAGGGAGCGUAGACGGAUCUGCAAGUCUGGAGUGAAAGCCCGGGGCGUCAACCCAGGCAGCUGCUUGGAAUUGAACUGUAGGUCUAGAGUGCCGGAGAGGUAAGCGGAAUUCCUAGUGUAGCGGUGAAAUGCGUAGAUAUUAGGAGGAACACCAGUGGCGAAGGCGGCUUACUGGACGGUAACUGACGUUGAGGCUCGAAAGCGUGGGGAGCAAACAGGAUUAGAUACC